AGAGUUUGAUCAUGGCCCAGAUUGAACGCUGGCGGCAUGCCUAACACAUGCAAGUCGAACGGUAACAGAACUAGCUUGCUAGUUGCUGACGAGUGACGGACGGGUGAGUAAUAUAUAGGGAUCUGCCUAAUAGUGGGGGACAACGUGUGGAAACGCACGCUAAUACCGCAUACGCUCUACGGAGGAAAGUGGGGGAUCUUCGGACCUCAUGCUAUUAGAUGAACCUGUAUCGGAUUAGCUUGUUGGUGAGGUAAUGGCUCACCAAGGCGACGAUCCGUAGCUGGUUUGAGAGAAUGAUCAGCCACACUGGGACUGAGACACGGCCCAGACUCCUACGGGAGGCAGCAGUGGGGAAUAUUGCACAAUGGACGAAAGUCUGAUGCAGCAAUGCCGCGUGUGUGAAGAAGGCCUUCGGGUUGUAAAGCACUUUCAGAUGUGAGGAAAAGCAGUCUAUUAAUACUAGAUUGCCGUGACGUUAACAUCAGAAGAAGGACCGGCUAACUCCGUGCCAGCAGCCGCGGUAAUACGGAGGGUCCAAGCGUUAAUCGGAAUUACUGGGCGUAAAGCGCGCGUAGGCGGAUAUUUAAGUCAGAUGUGAAAUCCCUGGGCUCAACCUAGGAACUGCAUUUGAAACUGGAUAUCUAGAGUAUGGUAGAGGUGAGUGGAAUUUCAGGUGUAGCGGUGAAAUGCGUAGAGAUCUGAAGGAACAUCAGUGGCGAAGGCGACUCACUGGGCCAUUACUGACGCUGAGGUGCGAAAGCGUGGGUAGCAAACAGGAUUAGAUACCCUGGUAGUCCACGCCCUAAACGAUGUCAACUAGGUGUGUGAGAGUCUAACUCUUGCGUAUCGAAGCUAACGCGAUAAGUUGACCGCCUGGGGAGUACGGUCGCAAGACUAAAACUCAAAUGAAUUGACGGGGGCCCGCACAAGCGGUAGAGCAUGUGGUUUAAUUCGAUGCAACGCGAAGAACCUU
Molecule: ribosomal RNA, 973 nt
Filed under: uncultured Piscirickettsiaceae bacterium
Lineage: Bacteria; Pseudomonadati; Pseudomonadota; Gammaproteobacteria; Thiotrichales; Piscirickettsiaceae
Description: bacterial SSU rRNA
Rfam family: Bacterial small subunit ribosomal RNA
Source: RNAcentral